UCACUGACAGGGUUAGGUCAGGAGAGGUGAGAGAGUAUCUCUGCCCCAUGGAUCAGGCAUCCAAGGCUGCUGCAGUGCCCAGCUGCCCGCAGGCAGGAGCUGCAUUUCCUGUAGUAAACACACUGGCUUCUGCUCAUGGAGGUAGGAAGUGGGGGAGGAAGGAAGUCCUUAUUCUGCUGCUGGGGCACAUUUUCCCAUGGAAACAAUGCUGUAGGUCACAGUUCUCAUCCUCUCAUAGUCAAGCUGCUUGUGGCCUAAAUGGGCUUCUAACAGUCAGCCUGAGGACCUACCAGUAUUUGUCACAUUGUUUCUCUGGGGAAAAUGCAUUUUCAGUUUCAAACAACUAAGAAGUCAACUUUUGGGAACAUAACUCAGUCAUACAGGAACUAUCUUUAUUUUCUUAGCUCAGAAGAAAUGCUGAGAACACAGAGAAGGAUGGUGUCUGUAAGACCCAGAUAAACAACUCAACAUUAACGAGAAGGUUAUUAAUAGUAAUAACUUCACUUUAUUCUCUGGGUGGUAUGAAGAGUCCAGUCCUAAAGAUUUGCAGCUUGAAGAACUUGAUUGCAGGUUCACCAUGGUUGAUUGGUCUCUAGCAACCAACACAUACCAACCAAACCCAAGAGACUGCACUAUAAACCAGAUGCCAAUUCAUAAAGAACACAAGAAAAGCUGUGCUGAGUUGGACAAAAGAUUCAUCUGGUCUGGUAUUCUCUGACAAUGGCUGUGAAGUCUAUGUGUUACUGUAAACCCUAGUGUGGGGCAUAGUAUCUGAAUAUAGUGUCCUCCCAAUAAAAUGUUUGUUGAAAACGAAGUGUUUUUGAAUAUUAUAAUUGCCCUCUAUGACAUAAACUUCAGAAAGGUAAAUAAGAAUUUCCUCCAAAUAUCCACUUAUUUACUCCUUUUUUUUUUUUUUUUUUGCAGUACGUGGGCCUCUGACUGUUGUGGCCUCUCCCCUUGCGGAGCACAGGCUCCGGACGCACAGGCUCAGCGGCCAUGGCUCACGGGCCUAGCCGCUCCCCGGCAUGUGGGAUCUUCCCGGACCGGGGCACGAACCUAUGUCCCCUGCAUCGGCAGGUGGACUCUCAACAACUGCGCCACCAGGGAAGCCCUUUACUCCUAUUUUUAAAGCAACUUUCUUCUUAGGGGAUCUGUUUGAUUAUUUUAGUUGCUCUUUUCUCUCACCUGGUAUACUGACUAGGCUCUUUUUUAAGGUUUUGGGGCAGAAUUAGAUGCUUGACCCCAGGUAUAGCUUCAUUAUCAUUUUGUUGAAUAUAGGACAAAACAGUGCUUUCAGUUUUGUUUUCCAUGUUUUUAGCAAGGAGGCUAAGAACUUGGAAAUUAUUGCUAUAUGACUUUAAGAAACAGUCAACAAUAACUCAUGGUUCUCUUUCUUGAAAUAAAACAUAGCUCCAAGCUCAUCUUUCAAGUGUCCUUCAGACUAACAACCUAAAUGCAUUAUCCAAAAUCAGUACAGAAUGAAACUAAUUUGCCAUACUUCUGUCCACUCACAUAGCCUUGUUUAUUUAUCUUUACUUCAAUUUAGAUUGAUCUGCUUGGUGUUUACUACUCUGGAGAGCUUAAGGACACCUCAGCCUAGUGACUUUUCUUUUUUUUUUUUGCGGUACGCGGGUCUCUCACUGUUGUGGCCUCUCCCGUUGCGGAGCACAGGCUCCGGAUGCGCAGGCUCAGCGGCCAUGGCUCACGGGCCCAGCCGCUCCACGGCAUGUGGGAUCCUCCCGGACCGGGGCACGAACCCGUGUCCCCUGCAUCGGCAGGCGGACUCUCAACCACUGCGCCACCAGGGAAGCCCUUUACUCCUAUUUUUAAAGCAACUUUCUUCUUAGGGGAUCUGUUUGAUUAUUUUAGUUGCUCUUUUCUCUCACCUGGUAUACUGACUAGGCUCUUUUUUAAGGUUUUGGGGCAGAAUUAGAUGCUUGACCCCAGGUAUAGCUUCAUUAUCAUUUUGUUGAAUAUAGGACAAAACAGUGCUUUCAGUUUUGUUUUCCAUGUUUUUAGCAAGGAGGCUAAGAACUUGGAAAUUAUUGCUAUAUGACUUUAAGAAACAGUCAACAAUAACUCAUGGUUCUCUUUCUUGAAAUAAAACAUAGCUCCAAGCUCAUCUUUCAAGUGUCCUUCAGACUAACAACCUAAAUGCAUUAUCCAAAAUCAGUACAGAAUGAAACUAAUUUGCCAUACUUCUGUCCACUCACAUAGCCUUGUUUAUUUAUCUUUACUUCAAUUUAGAUUGAUCUGCUUGGUGUUUACUACUCUGGAGAGCUUAAGGACACCUCAGCCUAGUGACUUUUCUUUUUUUUUUUUGCGGUACGCGGGUCUCUCACUGUUGUGGCCUCUCCCGUUGCGGAGCACAGGCUCCGGAUGCGCAGGCUCAGCGGCCAUGGCUCACGGGCCCAGCCGCUCCACGGCAUGUGGGAUCCUCCCGGACCGGGGCACGAACCCGUGUCCCCUGCAUCGGCAGGCGGACUCUCAACCACUGCGCCACCAGGGAAGCCCCUGUGACUUUUCUUAUAUGAGCCCACUUUCAAACAGUCUAUGAAAAGUUUUAAGUAAGUCCCCUAGCAGUAAUCCUUGAGGACUCUACUCUGAAAUCAGAAAAAUCCAUCUGGUAUUGGGGAACCAACAGUAGUCAGCAGACCUGCAUACUGGCACCAGUUCUGCCACUUAUUAGUUGUUAGGGUACAGGCAAGUCAUUUAAUCUUAUCAUAAAAAUGCCUCUCCUCCCUUGCAGGUUUGUUCCAAGGAUUUCAUGAGAUAAUGUGUGUGAAAGCACUCUGAAAAUGCUAAACGACUGUAUAAAUAAGUGGUGCUAUUAAUAUCUCCACCCAGAAGCUUGCCUGUUUAAACCACGGUUUCCUAAAGUUAAGGCAGCUCUCUCUUUCAUUCAAUUCAUUCCACAGAUAUUCUUUAAGUGCCUACUUUACCCAACAUAGAACUUUGUCCCCAUUUUCUGAGUAACUUAGUUAAGUAGGGCUUUUCUUCAACGUUUAGUAUGUAAAUUUGUAAACACUUUUUUUUUUUUUAAAUGUAGCUUUCACUGUUUCUGUGCUUAUUUAUCCCUCAAAGAAUUGUGGUCAAAUAGUGAAACAUGAGACAUGCCGUAGCAUGCUGCAAAGGUAGAAGGCCAGAAGAGUCUCUGCCUGCAUCUCCCACAGAAAACAGGAGUGUCUUCUAUGCAGCCCAGGAGAGACUAAGGGAAAGUUCAGACAGGGUACAGCUGAUGGCACAGUGAGAAGGGGAGGAGGAGGAACUGUAUAUAACUUCUCAGAUCCCAACAAUCAGUAUUAUAAGAAAUAGAUUUACUUACAUGAAAGCAGCUUACGGAAAUCUCCUUUAGCUGGUGGCCCAUUCAGCAAAGAAAAAUUUCUUCCAGUUUUAGAAGCUUCUGAAGGUUUAUAAAUACUGUUUCCAAAGGAAAUAUAAAAGGCAAGUGAUUCUUGGAGAAGAGGAAAAAAGACAGAUUUAAAAAAAUGAUUUAGCUGUACAGCAGGUUAUGAAGGAGGGAAAAGGAAGAGAUUAAAAUGAUUCUUUCCCUCCUCCCUCUGUGACUCAGAGAUUAAUUUUAAAAAUAAUCUUCAUCCCAGUAUGGGAAGCUGAGCAAAGACUCACAUCUUCACAUUCCAAGUUCCAUGAUGGCCUUGGAGAGGAAAGGAGCAAAAGGAAGAGGGAGAUAGGAAACAGUAACUAUUAAAGAUAAUCUGGAAAAGACUUUACCUACUCAGAAGAGGUGAGAUGAAAUUAAAGGCAGGUCUAGGCAUUUUCUGUUAUCGCCCUAUUCUGAAGUAUGUUUUAUCAGCAAGGAUGAAGCCUCAACUUGUCUUUUCAUUCUUACCUCCCACUAACUCUUCUGGUGAUCCAUAUUUUACUCAUUCAAAUGAAUUUUCAUCUUUCAACACCAUUCCUCUUUCUUUGUAUCAGCAACAGAAGGCUUUCUUCUAGGUGUUUCCUAAGUCACAUUUAAUUUAUGUAAGCAUGUUCAUUUUUUUUAAGUUUUUUUAUAUUUUGAAAGUAUUAAAACUUACAGAAAAGUUGCACACAUAGCAUAAUGAACUUUUUUUUAACUGACUAAUUUGAGAGUAAGUUGCUGGCAUGACACCUGUGGUGGAAAUUGAGAUGCAUUGACCAGAUACCCUUCAAGGAAGGACUUGUUGCUCAACUAUGGGGUCAACAAGCAUCUGUCCACUGUCAUUCCCUUCGGGGUUGGCCUCAUCUGCAGAGAGCUACCUUGCCCGAGGAGAUGCCCCUUUCCCAGGUGGCCCAAAUCCAAGGACUGAUCAAGGGAAGGAUAGAGCGGCCUGGCUAUUUUGGCCCUGUGCAGGGCAACUUCAAUGGGCCAUUUCUGCUCAAGAGCUCCCAAUGGGGUUAGUUGAGUUUAUCAGCCUGUAUCUCAGAUCAACAUCUUCCUCUGCCCAAUUCUGUUUUCUUUCCUCCAACCCAUAGACAUGGAUCUCAAGAGCUCGCCUUCAUAAUUAUCCUGAACACUAAAGUCUGUCUCAGAGUCUGCUUCCUGGAAAACCCAAACUGCCACAGUUGGAGCCAGGAGAGAUCGAGAAAGCAGAUGAUAAGAUGGGGUUUUGAAGCUGGAUCACUACCCGGCUGGCAUGAGGACCUCAUCACUGGUGAUGGAUGGAGCACAGAUAGUCCCUGGCAUAAGCGGUACGCGGGCCUCUCACUGUUGCGGCCUCUCCCGUUGUGGAGCACAGGCUUUGGACGCGCAGGCUCAGCGUCCAUGGCUCACGGGCCCAGCCGCUCCGCGGCAUGUGGGAUCUUCCCGGACCGGGGCACGAACCCGUGUCCCCUGCGUCGGCAGGCGGACUCUCAACCACUGCGCCACCAGGGAAGCCCUGGGUGUCGAUCCCAAAGGCACUCCCUGAUAAACAUCCUGGACACUAAACUCUGACUCAGAGUCUUCUUCCUGCAGAGCCUGAACUGUGAAAAUGCCCUGUUAUCACAAAUACUUUUAGUAUGUAUAUUUUACUAGUGAAUAUUCAUCUAGAUAACCCCAGUACAAUAUCAAAAUCAGGAAUUUAACAUUGAUAUGUUACUGUAUAAUCCUCAUACCCCAUUCAAAUUUUGUCAAUGGUCACAAUAAUGUCCUCUGCCCAGAAAUUGUGCAUUGUAUUUAGCUGUCUCUUCAGUCUUCAAUCUUGAACGGUUCCCUAGUCUUUGCUUUACUUUCAUGACCUUGAUACUCUUUAAGAUUACGGCCACUUAUUUUUGUAGAAUGUCCCUCAGUCUGGGUUUGUCUGAGGUUUUGUGAUGAUUAAAUACAGGUUAUCUUUGGUGGAACGAUUAGAGAAGUGAUGCCAUGUUCUCACUGUAUCCUAUUAGGUGGCACAUGACUUCAGUCUGUCGUGUCACUGGUGAUGCUAACUUGAUUAAGGUGGCAUCUGCCUUGUAAUUAAGUAUUUUGUGGGGAAGUACUUUGAGGCUAUGUAAAUAUCCCAUUCUUCAUAAUACUUCCUAGUUAUUCUUUUUAAAAUUUAUAUCUGUAUUAGCCAAGGAAUGCCUACUUUAUUCAGUGGACAGUAACCCAUUACUGUCGUUAUUUUGACACUUAGACUGUUCCACAUUUGGUCACUGGAAGCCUCUUCAAGUUGGCUUCUUUAUUCUCUUAACAUAACUCCAUCAUUCUUUUGCACUUCCUUGCUUGCUGCAUGAGAUAGUCCAAGCUUAUUUUGUACUUUUCCUGCUCCAGCCCUGGAAUCAGCCAUUUCCCCAAGGAGCUCUGGUUCCUUUUGGCAGAGAAUGGCAUUCAGAAACUAAGAUCUUGGCGUUAGAUGUGCUCAUUGCUAUUGAGGUAUCAACUGUUCUUAGGCCCUUUCAGCAGACAGAUCUAGGGAAUAUAUGAAAUAUAUGUAUGUAUAUGUAUAUAUGUAUUUAUGUAUAUAAAUUUACAUUUAUGUUUACACAAACACAUUUUACAUCUAUAUUUCUAUAUCUAUAUAUAUUCAAAAUCAUGAGUUCACACUGAUACCUCCAAUUUCAAUCCAAUACCAACUAGUUCAUUCUAGUUUUUUCAUUAUUCAUAUAUGUAACUACCAUCUCUACCAGUAACAAAUGUAACUCCCAUUAUCCUUAGUAUGACUAUUAUAUUUCAUCAAUCCUCUGUGCAUAAAUAAUCUCCUGUGAUUACCCCUUCCCCCUGUGUGGACACCUCCUCAUCUUGCACUGGGCUGCUGCUCUGCCUUGGGCUCCAAUGCUUGGGCUUGCUUGGGCUCCAAUGCCCCAAGCUGGACCAUCCCCUGCACAGUCACCUUCCUCACCCUGGUCUGACUCUGACACCCUGUGCCAGAUGGCCUUCCUUCAAUGGAUGGCCUCCUUACCCAGCUUGAUCUCUGCACCCACACUAGGCCUCCUUUCUUCCUCUCCCUUCCCCCUUCCCCAUGUGGAUAGCUAUCUUACCCUCAUUGGCUUCCAACACCUUGCAACCACAGGCUAACCCUCUGCAGGGACUCCAUUCUCACUAUGCUCAGGAUACCACACCGGUCUCCCUCUCCGUGGGGGGGACACGCUCCUCAUCCCAGUCAGGCCACCCUCCACACAGACGCCCUUCUCACCUGUCUUGGGCUUUGACACCUGCACCUGGCUGACCUUUUACCUAGAUGCCCUCCUCACACCUUUCAGCCACCACAGUUCCACACCCCCACCAAGGACACCAACCUUGCUUGGCUCCAUGAAUUGGCUUUUGGCCUGAUUUGUACAGAAAGGAGAGGGAAGAGGAUGGAAAGGUAGAGGAAGAAGUGGCAGACCAUUAAUUCAUUCUUUGAAGUUCAUUUUUUUAAAGUUUUAUUCUAUUUAUUUAUUUUUUGGCCAUGCCGCGUGGCUUGUGGGAUCUUAGUUCCCCAACCGGAGGUUGAACUGCGCCCUCAGCAGUGAAUGCAUGGAGUCUUAACCACUGGGCCACCAGGGAAUUCCCUAAAGUUCAUUUUUAAUAGAAUCAUUUUUCUGAUAUUCACUUCCAUUUUGGUUUGGGGCUCGAUUUCUUUUUUUCUUUUUCUUUUUUCUGACUAGAUUUAUUUCUGACGUCAUGUCUGUUAAAUUCAUGUUUGCCAAAAGAGCCAAAGCUGCCUGCUCAGCCCAUUCCUUAUCUGUGAUGGCCACCAUCUCCUCUACCAGAACAAGAUGGCUCACACAGGUCAAUACACAACAGGUUGCUCACCAUUCUUUUCAGUGGGGUUUUUGGGAUAAUAUAGAUAUGGUUGUGCAUAUUUAGAAAAAGGGUAUCUUGCUUUAAUACUUCCAAUUUCUUUUCCCUGUUUCCUUUUUUUCUCUUCCUAUCAAAACUGUUAAUCUUGCUAGGUCAGUUUAAAUAGAACCUCAGUUGCCUCUAAAUUUCUCCUAGACUUUUUCCCAUAGGAAGAUACUUCAAAGGUAUCUCCAGAUCCCAAUAAGAAUGGAUUAUUUGCUAUUCUUCAAAUAUGCCCUAGGCUGUUCUACGUGUGAGCCUUUAUUCAUGCUGGUGCUUCUGCCUGGUCUGUCAUCUCAUUGCUUCUCCAAAGGUUAAAGCCCUACGUCCUGCAAAGUACACUUCAUAUGCUACCUCCUACCAAAGUCUUUGUAAAUAUCCCCACCUCUGGACCCCAAUAGAACUUUGUAUGUAUUUAUGACAUAGAUCCUGUUCUGACAUAUUAUCAUUGCUGGGAGACAGGAAACUUGUUCCUUAGGUACAGGUACCAUUCUUUUUCAUUUAUUUUCUCCCUGGAGGCCUUGCACAUAGUAGAGACUACACAUGUUUGUUGAAUUGAAACAUAAUCAAGGUUUCUAUACUUUAUAUUAAUUUUUCUUUUUACAUAGUAUACUCUUCAAAACAAUUAAACUCCCUAGUAGUUUUUUCUGGCAUGAGACCUAAAUUUUUUCCCUCAUAGAAGAGAAUGAUGUUUAGUUUUACCAUCCAAAGGACAAAAAAGUUAAUGUGUUUAUCUUUUUUCCAAUAUGAUGCAAUAGGUUGUAUUAGUAUACCAAGAGGUACAAUCUAAUCUCAAAGCAAAUUCAUAUUUGCCUAUGCAAGCCUAUAUUUUUGUCCUGCCCAAAUGGUACACCAUUUUGACUUUUGAAAUUAUUAAAUAUUGACAUUGUCCUAGAACAUAUGCAUUACUUUGCAUAGUGAAUAAAAUCAUAUUUUCACCUGCAGAGAGAUGGCCCCAAUUCCUCACUCCCCACAGGAAUUAUGUAACUACAGUAGGAGACCGACCUGCUUCUUUUGUGUUGGUCUUAGCCUGGAUUCUCAUAAUCUGUUCCGAAGUAGGGCAGUAUCAAAAAUCUAGGCUGCUUUGUCAUAUUUUUUUCUCCAUUUAACUGUUUAUUGCAAGGCCAAUCAUUAGAUUGUAAACUCUUUGACUUGGAGUUGUCUUCCAAGUCUUUUGUAUCCUUCUUUUGUAGGAGAUGAUAGCAUACUGUAGAUGUGCAAUGAAUGAUUUCACCAAAUUAGUCUUAGAGUGCUUGACUUCACUGGGCCGUCACUUCUAAGCUUGUUGUGUUCAGAAGCCAAAAAUACGGACUUUUAGUGUUCUUCUCCUGCAAGUUCUUACUGCUUUUAGACCUCUGUUUAUCCCUAGUGGCCUGAUAGCUAUUGCACCAAGUUUUUAGAGUUGGAAGUUUAAUGAAUUUUAAGAUUCUCUCUCUAUGUCAUGCCUUGAAAUUGGAAGAACUGAGUAGAGAAAGAAGGGUUGGGGACCAUGAAGAGCUUUCCUGCUUAGAAAGAGAACUCCUUCUGACAGGUGUCUGUGGUAGGCUGAGUUAUGGCUUCCCCAAAAUGUCCAUGUCCCAAUCCCCGGACUCUGUGGAUAUUACCUUGUAUGGCAAACAAACAACCAAAAAAUUCCAAGACUUUGCAGGUAUGACUGAGGAUUUUAAAAUGGGGAGAUUAUUCUGGAUUAUCUGAGCGGGACCUAAAUGCAAUUCCAUGCAUCCUUAGAAUAGGAUAACAGGAGAUGUGACACAUAGGAGAGAAGGCAAUAUGACUGUGGAGGCAGAGACUGGAGUGAUGUGGCCACAAGCCAAGAGGUGCCAGCAGCCACUAGAAGCUGUAAGAGGCAAGAAACAUGUUGUCCUACUGUCUCUGGAGGGAGCACAGCCCUGCUGGCAUCUUUAUUCAACCCAGUGAAACUGAUGAACUUCUGGCCUCCAGGAAUGUGAAAGGAUAAAUUUCUGUUGUUUUAAGCCAUCAGGCUGUGUGGUAAUUUGUUACAGCAGUUACAGGAAACUAAUACAGUAUCCUAUAUCUCAAAUGUUUCUAUAUUUUCUUUUUACUGCUCCCCUUAUUUAGCCUAUAUGUAUGUAUAUAUCCCAUUUUGUUCUUUCUUUUCUUCCUGACAGAUUUUUUCCUGUGGGUGUCCCUAAGAAAACAACUUUUCAUACCCUUUUCAAUUACUUAGAUGUUGGGUUUCAAAACAAUUUAAUAAACAUUUAGGGACCAU
Molecule: long non-coding RNA, 9437 nt
Organism: Orcinus orca (killer whale)
Lineage: Eukaryota; Metazoa; Chordata; Mammalia; Artiodactyla; Delphinidae
Exons: 3
Source: RefSeq, a predicted model, not a curated record